GGUAUGUGGGGAAAGGCCCAGUAACACCUCUUGGGGGAGGAUGCCUCUAUCAUUAAAAAGAACAGUGGACAUUGAUGCUCAUUAGGAAGCUGACUGAUGAUCUUUUCCAUAAAAUUGUUAUCAAAUUAUACCCAGUCAAUACAACUAAGAACUGGGGCAAGCUGGACAUCUGUCGUUAAUUUGUUACAUUUUUCUAUUUACUCAAGUUUGUGAAAUUCAUGCCAAUUUUUGUUUUAUUUAUUUUUUUAUUUGAUUUUGUAUGUCCUGAGGAAUGAUGAAGUGUCUUCUGAGUGCUUUUCAAACUAUCUAAAGGGAUAUAGUAAUUCAGAAAGGUUCUUCAUUCAUUUUACAUUAUAUAUGUGAAAAAAGGAAUAAUUGAUAAUUACAUCACACAUCUGGGGGGAGGCCUUUAUAUUUUGCUGGAAGGAAUUUGGAAGAUAUUGUUUGGUUGAAAGAUUAUUUGUCUAUAGAUGUAUAGUGUAAGAUAAUUUCUUACAGGGAGCUGAUGCCCAUUUUUAAUUUGCAACAAGUGUCCAUAAACACAUAAACAUACACAUGUAUGCAAAUGUGAGAGAACAGUCCUAAAAUAUGGACAUAUUUAGAUGGGCCCAGGCAAAUCUAGAAGUGCCUGUUUCUUUGGGAAUAUAUUAAUGCAAAGACUGUAAAUAUUGUUGUUCUCCAUUGAC
This is a long non-coding RNA of Sphaerodactylus townsendi, 686 nucleotides long. RefSeq lists it as uncharacterized. The transcript is spliced from 4 exons. The record is from RefSeq and is a predicted model, not a curated record. Lineage: Eukaryota; Metazoa; Chordata; Lepidosauria; Squamata; Sphaerodactylidae.